This 244-nucleotide ribosomal RNA is filed under the name uncultured anaerobic ammonium-oxidizing bacterium. RNAcentral's name for it is "partial 16S ribosomal RNA". It matches the Rfam family "Bacterial small subunit ribosomal RNA", at positions 439 to 674 of the family's 1533-position model. The record is from RNAcentral.
GGAGUUAAGAAAUGUAGGCUCGCUAAUAUCGUGCCUAUUUGACAAAGGCUCCAAAGGAAGCCACGGCUAACUCUGUGCCAGCAGCCGCGGUAAUACAGAGGUGGCAAGCGUUGUUCGGAAUUAUUGGGCGUAAAGAGCACGUAGGUGGAUUUGUAAGUCAGAUGUGAAAGCCUUCUGUUCAACGGGAGAAUUGCAUCUGAAACUACAGACCUUGAGUAUAGGAGGGGAGAGUGGAACUUCUGGU